RNAcentral lists this transfer-messenger RNA (351 nucleotides) under Dinoroseobacter sp. It matches the Rfam family "Alphaproteobacteria transfer-messenger RNA". From Rfam's summary of the family: Bacterial tmRNA, also known as 10Sa RNA or SsrA, is named for its dual tRNA and mRNA-like properties. Its role is to liberate the mRNA from a stalled ribosome. To accomplish this part of the tmRNA is used as a reading frame that ends in a translation stop signal. The record is from RNAcentral. Lineage: Bacteria; Pseudomonadati; Pseudomonadota; Alphaproteobacteria; Rhodobacterales; Roseobacteraceae.
CCCCUUCCAUUAGGCAAGCCGCGCAAUUAUAUAGGUAUUGUCCUUUCGAGGACUAUGGACAUAAACGCGCUCGUAAUAAGCGGAUCGGACCCGGGGGCGGUACCCGGCGGCUCCACCAAACAUCCUUCAUUUGGGGAUCAUGGGGCCGAAAUAGGAUCGACGAACGUCUAAAGGGGUUAGCUUUGUCUCGGCGGGGUGCCACCGUACCGGCCCGACAAGUACAAUUGCAAAUGACAAUCGUGCUCCGGUUGCUCUGGCUGCGUAAGCAGUUCGAGGAAUCGAAACUUUAAGCCCUAGAGCCUAGCCGCUCUAGGCGGGGUUCGCAGGCACCUGGCAACAGAAGCCUGCACU